Molecule: long non-coding RNA, 861 nt
Filed under: Salmo salar (Atlantic salmon)
Lineage: Eukaryota; Metazoa; Chordata; Actinopteri; Salmoniformes; Salmonidae
Description: lncRNA (ENSSSAG00000090215.1)
Source: RNAcentral
CUCUCAGCCCCUCUCCUCCUAGUAAUGAGGUAACGUAACAAUGUGGUAAUGCAUUAAUUUAGUAAUGAGGUAAUGAAGUCGUGCAGUAAUGUAACGAUGCAUUAAUUUAGUAAUGAGGUAAUGAAGUCGUGCAGUAAUGUAGUAAUAAGACGAUGCAUUAAUUUAGUAAUGAGGUAAUGAAGUCGUGCAGUAAUGUAGUAAUAAGACGAUGCAUUAAUUUAGUAAUGAGGUAAUGAAGUCGUGCAGUAAUGUAGUAACAAGACGAUGCAUUAAUUUAGUAAUGAGGUAAUGAAGUCGUGCAGUAAUGUGUGGGUCAGAGGAUAAGCAGUGAUAAUCCUGUGUGAUUGUUGUAGUUCUACGGAGGACAGCUGUGCUGCGGUCAGUCGGACACUUCAAAGGCUUACGGCUGCAGAAACAUAACUACACAGAUACUGAGUGCAGUGUCCCAAAUGGCAGCCUAUUCCCUAUAUAGUGAACUACUUUUGACCAGGACCUUAUGGAGGGUGCCAUUUGGGACAAAGGAUGAGAUUCUCAAACAACCUCUCACCGCCGAUAUGACAGGGGAGCUGAGGUUCUGCUGGGUUCUGCUGUACCAGCUGAGGUUCUGCUGGGUUCUGCUGUACCAGCUGAGGUUCUGCUGGGUUCUGCUGUACCAGCUGAGGUUCUGCUGUGUUCUGCUGUACCAGCUGAGGUUCUGCUGUGUUCUGCUGUACCAGCUGAGGUUCUGCUGUACCAGCUGAGGUUCUGCUGUACCAGCUGAGGUUCUGCUGUACCAGCUGAGGUACUGCUCUACCAGCUGAGGUUCUGCUGGGUUCUGCUGUACCAGCUGAGGUACUGCUGGGUUCUGCUGUACCAGCUGAG